CCUACGGGCGGCAGCAGUGAGGAAUAUUGGUCAAUGGGCUUACGCCUGAACCAGCCAAGUCGCGUGAGGGAAGACUGCCCUAUGGGUUGUAAACCUCUUUUGUCAGGGAGCAACGCCGGCUACGUGUAGCCGGACUGAGAGUACCUGAAGAAAAAGCAUCGGCUAACUCCGUGCCAGCAGCCGCGGUAAUACGGAGGAUGCGAGCGUUAUCCGGAUUUAUUGGGUUUAAAGGGUGCGUAGGCGGAAUGCCAAGUCAGCGGUAAAAUCGCGGGGCUCAACCUCGCUCCGCCGUUGAACCUGGCGGUCUUGAGUUGGCGAGAAGUAUGCGGAAUGCGGGGUGUAGCGGUGAAAUGCAUAGAUAUCACGCAGAACUCCGAUUGCGAAGGCAGCAUACCGGCGCCCAACUGACGCUGAAGCACGAAAGCGUGGGUAUCGAACAGGAUUAGAUACCCGUGUAGUC
RNAcentral lists this ribosomal RNA (460 nucleotides) under uncultured bacterium. RNAcentral's name for it is "partial 16S ribosomal RNA". It matches the Rfam family "Bacterial small subunit ribosomal RNA", at positions 338 to 795 of the family's 1533-position model. The record is from RNAcentral.